GGGGGAGCUGCCUUUGGGCAGCUCGCAGAGAUACACGAGAGGGAGUCAGAGGGAGUGAGACGGGACAGAGGUCAGCACGAAGGGAGGUCAGCACGAAGGUGAGCUGCCUUUGGGCAGCGUGUCAGACAGAGACAUCAGGUCAGAGAAGAAGAGCGCAGAAAACGUAAGGGCUGUCUUGGAGCUGACUUGCGGGAAGAAGUAGCUUAUAGCUGCCUAGACGGGACAGCCAAGAAAAACCGAGAGGACUGCGCAGAGCACAGAGGCAGAGGGCUUCAUUCCAUUCUUAUUGGUGUUAUCUUCUCAAACUCAUGUUUUACGUUUCGGUUUAAUUUUUCCAAACUUCUAUUUUAUUUCUGUUUCAAUAAUGUGUAAUUAAACUUAUUUUGACUAGAGGUUAAUUCAAAGCCAUGAAUAUAUUUGUAAUAUGAAUUGAUUACCUUCGGUUGUGAUUUCAUAAGUUGUGAUUUCAAUUUACUUAUCCGUUCGUAUAAAAACUGAUUUGUGUAUGUUGGUUGAGAGUGCACGCUUAAUUUACAUGCAUGAAUUUGAUGCUAGAAUAUAAGUGAAUUUCACCUAAUCGUUAUGAAUUUAUUUUCACAAGUAGUAAAGGUUGCUAGUCACAAUCACGUUAAGUAAAUUCUUGGCAAGAGUAUCAUGCUUUUCAUAGUUACGAAUGCCUCGUCAAUGCUUAUAGUUUUCACAAAGUUUAAUGAUCUUUGAUUGUAUCGCUAUUGUGCUUUUCACGUAGGGGACUUUUGAAGAAUGUUUUGAAUUGUUGUAUGCGUUUUUCCGUCCAAUUCAAUAACUUAAGGAAAACUUGAAGAUUAAAAAAAGUGCUGUUCACGGUUAAUCUGGAGUAUUGAGAUUCACAAUUUAUUGAAAGAACAACUGAAAAUCAAUUUAGGUUGCAUAUGUGUCAUGUGUGGAGAAGAACCCUCUAGCUAGUCCGUCAUUUAUCAUUUUACCUUAAUUUUAUGUUUUUUAUCAAUUCUGUAAUUUUAAUUAAGUUUAAUUUACUUUUUCAUCAAAACCAAACACCCAUCCAUUAUUAAAUUAUAUUAUUUAGUUAGUUUUCUUUAUUGUUAGUCUUUUAAUUUAAUUUCCAUCCAUUUCAGUUCCUAGUGUUUAAUUUAAUUGUUUCCAUUAUUUUGAGUCAUUUUAAGUGUGUUUCGAGUUAUUAGAGUUUUUAGCCUAAUUUUGUGUCCUUGAGUCUUAUUUAAUAUUUUUAAAUUAAUUUAGAAUAGAUUAGCAAUCCCUCCUAAUCCCCGGCCUAGAACGAUACCCUACUUACAUCUAUACUACAAUUGUCAAAAAGAGGGUUUAAUUUGUGUGCUUAUAUAUUUCGCAUCAAAUUUUGGCGCCGUUGCCGGGGAUUAGCAACUUUGCUAAUCCCUUGGUUCUUUUCUUUUUGUUUAGUUUGUUUUUGUUUUAGUUUCUGACUUAGUUUUGUGUUACUUUUGAUAUUUGAUUUAUUUUUCUUUCUUUGAUUUUAGGUACAAAUGGAGCGAGACAUGGCACUUGCGACCAUUCAAGCUCAAUUGGCACAGCUCACUGCUCAAUUGACUCAUAAUGCCGAACGGACCACAAUGCCAAGUGUCCCUACAUUUGAUGUGCCCUAUGGGCAAGGUUAUCAAAGUCCUCAAUUUUAUGCAAAUGAAGAUGUUUGGGGACAUCAAGGCCAUAACCAAUCAAGGGGCAACAUAUUUUCCAACGCUUACAAUUCAGAUUGGAGAGGUAAUUCAGAUUAUAUGUGGGAUGAACCUCAACAAUUUCAACAAUGUGGAUAUUGGCAGCAAGACGAGUUCUAUUCAAGACCUAUGCAACCACCACAGCAUCCCCCACAACAAUUCCAAUCAAAUCAAAGUAUGCCCAUGAAUUAUAAUGAAAUUCUUGAAGGACUAAUUUCUGUGGCGCAGGGUUUAUGAAAAGAAGAACAAUUGCCGCCAUCGGAAGAGUUCUAUCAGUGGCCAUAUGAACCGUCACAGCCACCACAACAAUCAACCCAAUUCAAUUCAGGUACAUCCUUGGAUAAUGAUACACUUAAUAAGUUACUCACCUCUUUGAAUCAGGGAGUAGAAAAUCAAAACCAGGAGAUGCAAGACCGAGUCAAAAGAUUGGACGAAUUGGAUAUGCAAGUUGGGCAGAUUGUGGAAUUCAUGGCACAGAUUCAAGAUCAAAGUGAACUUUCCAACUCAAACAUUGCAAAUUCAAAGGCAGAAAGAGAAAUCGAUGAAGCCAUCACUUUGGAAGGUGACAUGAAGGAUGAAGCUGUCCCAGAACCAUCCAAACACAGCCCGAACAUGGAUGAAUUGCUGCUGCAAGCUCCUCAAAUCCCUAUGUCAUCCAGCUUAGGUGAGGAAGUUCUAAAUUCACUUCAUUCUAACAUUAUUCCACCGAAUGUCCUUUGUCCUUGCAGGUUUUUUAUUCUAAUUAUCAAAGAGAGUGAAAAAGACAUUGUGGAAGCUCUUCCAAAGGUGCAAAGUGAUAUCCCAAUUCUUGGUGCACCAAAACAAGUUCCCGAUGGUAUUGAAACGUUCAAAGAACCUUGCACACCAAGAAAAGGGAUUCAAGAAAAUGAAGUGGUUGAAGCAUAUCAAGAAUACAUCCAAGAGGCUGUGUAUGAGACAAUCAAGCCCAAAGCAGUUGAGUUUGAUGACACGGGACAAGCCACAACCAUCAUAGUAAACCUGGCCAAUUUCAAAGUCCCGGAAAUGUUCAACAAUGUGGUGUUUGUCAUUGAGUUUGUGUCGGAAAAAGAAAAUAAGCCAUCUUCUCCAAUUUUAAUUUUAAUUUAUACUAACAUGUUUCUUAUUUUGAUGAUUCAGGCACCCACUCUUGAAUUUAAACCAUUGCCGAAUCAUUUCAAGUAUCACCUCCCAUUAAAAGAUAAAUUCCAUGCUUUGGAGCCGAGGGGAGGUUAAAGGAAAGAUUCGUCCGGCUAAAGACGUUAAAUCAAGCGCUUCUUGGGAGGCAACCCAAGCAUUCAACGAAGGGAGACUUUGGAAUCGCUAACCAAAUCAGAUUUGAAUUCUUACACCCUUAUCUUUACUGCUUUCAUUUUGUUUUGUUUAGUUAGUUGUGUUAUUUGGUUGAUUUCUGUGAGUUUGUGUUAUUUAGUUUAAGUGUUGGGGAAGGUUAACCAAAGUCUUUUUGACAUUGAUUUACAUAUUUUACAUUGAUUUUAAAAAAAACAAAAAAAAACAAAAAAAAAAAAAAAAAAAAAAAAAAAAUAGAAAUAAACAUUUUUUUACAAUGAUGUGUAAACUAUGUAAACUAAUAGUAUUCAUUGGUCGGGUGGUGCUUCAGUAGUAGGCGGGGCUUCAGCAGUCGGCGGGGCCACAGAAGGAAGAGGCAGCAGAGGUUGAUCAGUUGGAGCUUCACUACGCGGUGCCGCCCCAGAAGACGAAGGCAAAUGCGGUUGGAACAAACCCACAAACCUCCGAUGAUCAAGUAAAAUUUGACCAUCGGUGUCCUGCAUCUGGUCAAUCUUUCUCUUCAUACUGGUGGCAUAAUUGUGUGCAAGCUUGUGCAAUUGUUUAUUUUCAUGCUUGAGUCCUCUAAUCUCCUCUUUGAGACUCUGUAUUUCAGCCACCAACGAUUCAACGUGACGGGUUCGAGCAAAUAGGCGUUGGGCCAUGUUGGAUACAGAACCCGCACACUGCACGCUAAGAGCCAGAGACUCCUUAACCGCCAAUUCAUCGGACCGUCUAGCGAGCAGUCUGUUAUCUCUGGGAGUGACAAGGUUUCGGGCCACCACCGCAGCGGUCAUGUCAUUUUUUAUCACCGAAUCCCCCACGGUAAGAGGACCGGUAGGGGAUAUGAAGGUUGGCCGCCAUAUGUUGUCUGGUGAAGGCGGAGCUGCCUCUUCACCAAUGUUCAAGUCAAAACGACGAUCAGAAGGGCUAGACAUUUUUAAGAGGUGGUGAAGAAAGAUGAGAGUCGGAAUGAUCAAGAUUAAACAAGUGCAAGAAGGGAGUGUUUACAAGAGGGAGCUCAAGUGUGUUGUGGAACAAAAUUAACACCUCUAUAAAAAGAAGAAAUCAAAGAGGCGCUCCUCAGAAAUUGUUGAAGCGUCCUCUCGCAAAUCGAAGAGUCGGGGCUCCUUUCUCAAAAGCCGGAUUCUUUUCUCAAAAGAGGCGUUGCAUUUCUUAAAGGCUGGGCUUGCUCAGAAACCACGAGCCGAACCCCGGAUUUCAAAAGAUCAAAUUGUCCAGACAUGUCGUCACUUGUCACACGCAAAUUGCUUUGCGGAAAUCUCGGGCAGUUUGUCGAAGCACCAAUUCAGAAAUCGAAGAGGGAAAUUCAACAGUCAAUGACACGCUAGCUUUCUCAAAAGCUGGGCUUCAACCCACGGACAAAUCUUCUUUUCCAGAUUUAUCCGCACGUGUCACAUGCUACCUCUACAAUCGACGAUGCUCAGAGCUCGAAGCGCCGAUUCCAGAUAUCAAUGAGGAAUCUGCUUUGCGAAAAUUACGGGCAGCUUUGUCAGAAAGCGCGUAAUUUGUACUAUUCAUCCAUCCACCGGCUGCCGACAAUGAGUGAGGGAAUAGUUCCGGUUGUGAAGAAAGUCCUAUAAGUAUUUACCUUCGCCUUCCACAGCAAAGGCACACCCUCUCAGCACUUCUUCAUCUCCGUGAAUGCAUUCCCAAAGAACCCUCUCGAGUCACUCUGUAUUCCUCAUUCCCUGGGAUACCCCUGCAAACAACCCAUCCAGAGCAAAAGUAUUUCAUAUCAUAAAGGUUGAAAGCAAGAGUAUCUCAUAUCAUGCAUUCUCCAUGUCCUUUUCCUUGUCUUUGUUCUAACCUGCAGGACAUGGAGAAAUUGCUCUCGAGUACUCGUCUUCCACUGCUGAUGUACUUCCAAAGAAGCUGCCACAUCUACCUGAAGAACAGAUAAGGCAAGCGAAAAUGAUUCCAGCAGCAUGUGGAGACAACGUACAGAAGAAACAAGCAGAGAAGAAUGCAGUUUGCACAAUCAUCCCAGCGGAAGGAGUCUGAGAUGAAGAACAAGAGAAGCUGCCACAUCUGCUUGGAGAACAAAUAAGGAACUGCAACAUUCCCAAAGAGCAAAGCUUCGCCGUACAAUAUCAUCAAAUCAUCACUUGCAAGUAAAAAGCUAAGUGUCACCCCGUUCAAGAGGAAAGCUGUGGAAAGUCAACAAGCACGACCAAUGACCACUUAUUAGUUCUAUUCAUUGUCUUUUAUCGUGAUUUUCAAUUUUUCGUUUGCAAUUUUUUCUACAUUUUCUUGUGUUACUUAACUGAUUUAUUUCUUUUCUUUGCAGGAACUUUUGGUUAUUUCCACCCUUGAAGUUGAUUGCAGAAUUUUAGCUUGGGGGUCAUCGCUUGAUUUUACUGCAAAUUAGGGAAGUUUUCAGUCCAAUUGCUUUAUUUUGUUUCUUACUAUUUAUUCAUUUUAUUUUUUAUUUGCAUUAUAGUGUUUUCUGACAUUGGGGACAAUGUCCAGUUUAAGUUUGGGGGUAAAAAGUAUAAAAAAAAAAUGACCAAAUUGAAAUUUUUUGUACCUUCGACUACGAACUGGUUUCAUUUGUUUCUGUGUUGUUGCUUUUUGUUUUCUUAAUUAGUUUUGUUUCCUUUAAAAAAAAAAAUAUAUAUAUAUAUAUAUAUAUAUAAAUAAAAAUAAAAAAUAAAAAAAUAAAUAUUUAAAAAAAAAAAAUCGGAAAAUUUAAAAAUCCAAAAAUAUUGUCUUGUUUCCCUUAUUGUUUUGAAUUAGAUUUUUGUUAGUUUCCCGACCCAAUGAUAUAAUUGGAUCAAAUUUGAACCAUGAUCAUCAAGAACUUAGUUAACAUGUGUUUUUGUGAAAUUCCUAAUUCUCUUGUUAGUUUUGUACACAUGUUUUGACCAUCUUUGAAAAAACCAAAUGCACAUAGCCUUGUUAAUGUGAAACUAAAGUAUGACUUAAAGCUUCAUAUGUGAAUUUAGUGACCAUAUACAUCCUAUGUGAGUUUUUGAGCCGAUUGAAAGUGUGUGCAUUUUUCAUACACUCCUAUUCUUUCAUGUGUGAUGAACUUAUGUGAGAUACAUCUCUAGAACUUGCGUAACGAUCUUUCGAAAUGUUUGUCAUUGAUUGCAUGAACUUGGAAAUGAUAGAGGCAUUAGGUUUACCACUAUGGCCCAAAUAACCAUGUUUCCCAAAUAAAAAUGAUAUCAUUAGAUUGCCAAUUUGAGCCGUGUUUGUUGAGCCUUUUAUUUCUUAUCACCAGAUAUGUCUACCCUUAUACCUAAAUCAUUUUUUUUUCCUUACCCUUUCCAAGCAAGCUAGUGAGCAAUGUGAGAUUGUCUUAUGAGAAAUGUUUGUGAAGUACUUUGAAGGUGUUUGGCAAAAGAAUAAGUGUGGGGGUAUUUCAUGUUUGUAUUUAAAAAAAAAAAAAAAGAAAAAAAAAAAAAAAAAAAAAGAAAGAAAGAUUGUAUACAAAGAAAAUAAAAAGUUUUUCAAGUUUCAGUUAAGGGUGUGGUUGGAGGUGUUAGAAGAAUUGUUGGAGAGCUUGAGUUCUUAUAAAUCUAAAGAAAAGAAUUGCUUGCAAUGUAGCUUGGAAUUUGUGUUUUCCUAUUCUUUCGUUUCAAUAACCCUAUCCCUAAGCCUCAUUACAUCCAAUAAAAGUCCUCUUGAUUUAAGUUUUGCAAUUAUGAUUGUGGAGAUGAGAUCUUUAUGCAAGCUUAUGGUAGAAAUUUCACAUUUGAUUCUUUGAGCGAAACACAUUUAAACUAAACACAUGUGUGAUUGAGUGUAUAUCCCGUGAGAAUGUCGCUAGUUUGCAUAUGAUGAUUUUAAAAAUAAAAACUUGAAAUUGCAUUAGCAUGGCUAUCUCACACACUACACUUCAAGGAUGAUUCAAAGAUUACUGCUAAUAUUUGAAUAAAGAAGAUGAACUUGAAUUAGUUGGUUUGAUGCUAGCUAUGGUUCUUGAUGAUUUGUUUUCUUAAAUGAAAUUCUAUGAGGGUCACAUAGAGGGAAGCUAAUCUUUUUCAUGUUUUCUUUGUUUUGCUCGAGGACUAGCAAAAGUUAAAGUGUGGGGGUAUUUGAUCGGAUCAUAUUUAUAUAUAUUUUUACUUCGAAUUCACUCGUCUUUUCUUAGUUAGUUCCUUAUAUUUUUGAGAUAUUUACGUUAUUUUUAUGUUUAUAGGAUUUGUUAUGCAAAGAAAAUAAAAAUAGCACAAAUGAGUUUUAAAUAAUAAACAGAAAGAAUAUUGGUUUUAUUUUUGGAUUGGGUUUUAUUUUGGUUUAUUUUGGUUUAUUUUAUAUGCAUUGAAUUGAUUGUUUCAUAGAAUAUUGGUUUUGGAUUUGUUACUUGAAUUUGUUCUUAAUUCCCAACUGCUACUAAUUUAGAGUUUAUGAUACAAAUUAGUUUUGUAUUAUUUUGUCAAGGAAGAAUCCAAGGACAGCUAAGGAAAGAGAAGGCUGUCUUGCAGCCUUGAGAAACAAAAGAAGAAUAUAGAGAAAGCUGCCUUUGCAGCGUGCAGAAAAGGAGAAGAUGCGGGGAGUGUGAAGCAUGGAAGAAAAAUAAUAGAAGAGAAUCAAAGAGCUGCUUUUGGCAGCUAGAGAAAGUGACACGGGAGAGAGUAGCAUGUGAAAAGAAGAGGACAGUGCGCCAGGGAGCAUGUGAGAGGACAGCAAAGGCUGUCUUGGCAGCUCAGAGGAGUAACACGGAGGCAGAAAACGUAAGCUGGAGAAGGGGUCAGUAGGAGAAUAAAAGGAGAAGUGGGAGGCUGCUUUGAGGGAGGGGAGAAACCGAGAGGCUGUGGGCGCGGGAGAGAGGAAAGAAGGCUGCCUUUUGGGCAGCGUGUGAGACCAGUGAGGGGGGGGAGCUGCCUUUGGGCAGCUCGCAGAUACACGAGAGGGAGUCAGAGGGAGUGAGACGGGACAGAGGUCAGCACGAAGGGAGGUCAGCACGAAGGUGAGCUGCCUUUGGGCAGCGUGUCAGACAGAGACAUCAGGUCAGAGAAGAAGAGCGCAGAAAACGUAAGGGCUGUCUUGGAGUUGACUUGCGGGAAGAAGUAGCUUAUAGCUGCCUAGACGGGACAGCCAAGAAAAACCGAGAGGACUGCGCAGAGCACAGAGGCAGAGGGCUUCAUUCCAUUCUUAUUGGUGUUAUCUUCUCAAACUCAUGUUUUACGUUUCGGUUUAAUUUUUCCAAACUUCUAUUUUAUUUCUGUUUCAAUAAUGUGUAAUUAAACUUAUUUUGACUAGAGGUUAAUUCAAAGCCAUGAAUAUAUUUGUAAUAUGAAUUGAUUACCUUCGG
This 8259-nucleotide long non-coding RNA is filed under the name Malus domestica (apple). RNAcentral's name for it is "long non-coding RNA (MDOM_LNC007397)". Lineage: Eukaryota; Viridiplantae; Streptophyta; Magnoliopsida; Rosales; Rosaceae. The record is from RNAcentral.